Molecule: non-coding RNA, 24 nt
Filed under: Cricetulus griseus (Chinese hamster)
Lineage: Eukaryota; Metazoa; Chordata; Mammalia; Rodentia; Cricetidae
Source: RNAcentral
UUCACUGUAGAAUUGAAUUUUGGG